GACGGCGACACGGGAACCCAAGGGCAGCUGCUGACCUCUAAAUCAACAACAUUGUGCUUUCAGACACAAGAAACACCACAGCUGAAAAUGAUUUAAUUAAUUCAACACCCUCUCUCUCAACUUUAAAAAACAUAUGCAUCCGACACAGUCACUCCAUAGCGGUACCAAUAUCAUUCCUGCUUUCUCUGUGGAGCGCGACAGGGUUUAACCACGCCCACAAUCUGUGAGAAUUGUUGAUGAACUCGUUGACUGCAGUUCUCUAUGACCUGAAGGACUUACUUGCAGAGGAGUUCUUUCUGAUGAAGAAGGGAACUUCUGGCGGAUCCAGCUGUGGCCAGUUACUUACAGCUACUUACAUAACAGCAGAUGCUGUAUCCUGCCGGAGGGCAAAGCGGCGGGUGAGCGACUGUUCCAUCUGAGACAGGAGAUGAGGAGUGCCCAGGACCUCGCCCUGGAGUUCCGGACCCUAGCCGCUGGAGCUGGGUGGAAUGAAAGGGCCCUGAUUGAUCACUACCGUUGUAGCCUGAGAGAGGACGUCCACCGGGAGCUGGCAUGUCGGGACACUACCAUCACCCUGGACCAGCUCAUCGAUAUGUCCAUCAGACUGGACAACCUGCUGGCUGCCCGUGGGCGUUCCAAUCGGGCCCUUUUCAUUCCACCUCCCAGCCCUCCUGCUCCAACGCCCAUGGAGAUAGGGGGGGCUGCAGCUAGGAAGACCGGAGGGGCAGUCUUCUCCUGCGCCCACUGUAGUCGCAAAGGGCACACUGCCGACCAGUGCUGGAGAGGCUCGCCCGGGAGUUCAGAGGGCAGUCUGAGCACCACUUUGAUGCCUCAGGCCGGUGGUAGCUGGUCCACUGCAGGACGCUGAGGUGCGGGAGAUCCCUCCGCCCCCCCCUGGACAUCGGGGGGUCCCCGGCGUACACAGUCCGGUCCAUCUUGGACUCCAGGCGUCGGGUAGGGGGCCUGCAGUACCUCGUGGACUGGGAGGGGUACGGUCCGGAGGAGAGGUGCUGGGUACCAGUGGAGGACAUCUUGGAUCCAUCACUGUUGCGGGAAUUCCACAGCCUCCAUCUGGAUUGCCCUGCGCCUCGCCCUCCGGGUCGUCCUCGAGGCCGGCGUCGGCGCGCUGCGGGAGCUGCGCAUCAGGGGAGGGGGGGUACUGUCACAACGUCCACAGAAGGUGGUGCCUCUCCCCGUUCUGGCGGCGCUCGGCGGUCGUCGUCGCCGGCCUACUAGCUGCCACCGAUCUCCUUUUCUUUUUCAUUUGGUGAUGUCUGUUUUUGUUAGCACCUGUUUUGAGUUAGUUCAUUUGUGAGGGUAUUUAGUCUGUCUGUUUUGGUUUGGGAUUGUGCGGGAUUGUUUCGUGUCAUUUUAUUGGAUGUUGGGGAUUUGAUUUUCCUCUGCCGUUUCGUAUUAGGUAUUAGGGUUUGCUGGGCUGCGUCCCGACUCGAUUUAGGGCUGUUACCUAUCGUUUGAGUUCUGUACCCUGCCUUGUUUUUUCGGCACUUUGGACUGUAUUCAUUAAAACGUGUUUUCCCACGUACCUUAGUCUCCUGCGCCUGACUGCGCCUCCUGCGCCUCCUGCGCCUGCGGGUCAACCCCUCCUGCAUGAUCGAAUCUUAUGACAUAUCCUUCCUUUAACCUGAUGUUGUGUCUCACCCACAGCUACGUAGCUUGGCGUGUAG
RNAcentral lists this long non-coding RNA (1685 nucleotides) under Salmo salar (Atlantic salmon). RNAcentral describes it as "lncRNA (ENSSSAG00000101556.1)". Lineage: Eukaryota; Metazoa; Chordata; Actinopteri; Salmoniformes; Salmonidae. The record is from RNAcentral.